AUUUCAAUCUGUGAAUUUGGCAUAAAAUCACAGUUCUUCUGUUUGUUGAUUUUUAAAUCAUGUGUAACGCAGUGUACAUUAAAUCACUGCUGUGUUUGGACUAGCUUGUGGCUAGAUACCUAGUUUAAAGUAUGAAGCUUAAGGUUUUUUUUGUGAAGUGGAUUGCAUGCAGCAUAUGGUUUCUAGUAAUGUCAGUCAUCUUAUCUGCAGCUGGUUUUAAUGUCUUGUGUCUCAUCAGAAUCUCAGCCCUGUUGUGCGGGACUGAUUGCAGUCGGAGUUGUAACAGCAAUAGCACUUGUGGCCGGACCAAUUUUCCUGAAGAUGCACAGAAAACAACAUAAACAUGUAUUUAUGCCUACUAAGUCCACAUAGAAGAUUUUAUUAUAUCUAUUUACAUGUUAAUAUACCUGUAAACAUUUUAAUUUGAUCAUUUUGUUUAUUCUAAACUGUUGAUUUAAUAAAGUUCAUGUUUUAUGUCAAAAGAAUGUGCUUGUGUUCAUUGGCUCGUUCUGUUCAUUUGGCCAAACUUGUACGUUGUUAAAAUGGAUCUUAAAGAUAUAAGCUGUUAUGUUUACAAAAAAAUGGAUAUCAUUGGUAUUAAUUUUCUCUGUACCUCAUUUGUUCCAAUUAAUCUGCUGUUUGAGUUUCUGCUAUUUUUGUUUUUGUUCAGAGAAUAAAAGUGUGCAAACUGAUCUUGAGCGUGGAGCGUGAUGGGAGGGUUUAGGGAAGUUCUGCUUGUUUGAGCAGAGAAUAGUGGCAUUAUUCCACAGGAAAAGGAAACCGCUCAGUUUGGAAACCUGGUGACACCUAAAGACCUUUGGUUCUGUGAACUCUGUGUUCAGACCAGUGCUGUAGAGACACAAACAACAUGUUUAAUGUGGGAGCUUCGCUCUAGUGUUUUUCAGGGUACAUGCGUCUCUUUCAGAAUCUUAUGAGAGGUGAACCUGUUGCGAUACGACAGAGAAAACACGGAAUUUAGGCUUCGAAAGUCAAGGUGUCAUGGGGUCAUGGAUGCUGGUUCUGUGUACCACAGUCACUCUGAUGCCUGUGUGUCUUCAUGGAGCAAUAUCAGUCCGCUUUAAGACCGGACGGCCUCUCUAUGUGGCACUCGGCCGAACUCUUGUUUUGGAAGUCGAAUUCAAGAAGGACUCGGACGACAAAAUAGACAUGGUGACGUGGGACCGCGAGAGAGGAAAUGUCACUGUCAGACUGUCACAUGGAAACAGAAUAUCUUUGGAGAACGGAGAUGCACUUCUGCGGGUCACUGAUGUUGCAGAAGGGGACCUUGCGACCUACAAAGUCACCGUUACAGACAGUAACGGAUACCAGCAGCAAGACUCCAUAGAAGUACAAAAGAUAGUGGAAUCUCCAAAGGCGUCAAUUACACGUGUGCUGGAUUGUGUUGUGGAUAAUCAUGGCAUGACUCAGUGGGACAGCCCUCAGUUUUCAUGGCUGGUUGAUGGUGUUACAGUAACCAAUCAAUCCGCCCUGUUAACUAAUGGCAGUAGACUAGAUAUCUCUGGGAUUAAGGGUGUUAACUACACCUGCAUCAUCAGCAGCAGUCUGGGGACACUCACAACACAUUAUGAAAUGCCAAAAGAAUCUCAGCCCUGUUGUGCGGGACUGAUUGCAGUCGGAGUUGUAACAGCAAUAGCACUUGUGGCCGGACCAAUUUUCCUGAAGAUGCACAGAAAACACCAUUAA
Long non-coding RNA from Cyprinus carpio (common carp), 1704 nucleotides. NCBI's taxonomy places the organism in Eukaryota, Metazoa, Chordata, Actinopteri, Cypriniformes, Cyprinidae. The record is from Ensembl.